This 95-nucleotide signal recognition particle RNA is filed under the name Pelagibius litoralis. Its description in RNAcentral is "Bacterial small signal recognition particle RNA". It matches the Rfam family "Bacterial small signal recognition particle RNA". From Rfam's summary of the family: The signal recognition particle (SRP) is a universally conserved ribonucleoprotein involved in the co-translational targeting of proteins to membranes. Archaeal SRP consists of a 7S RNA and homologues of the eukaryotic SRP19 and SRP54 proteins. The record is from Rfam by way of RNAcentral. Lineage: Bacteria; Pseudomonadati; Pseudomonadota; Alphaproteobacteria; Rhodospirillales; Rhodovibrionaceae.
GUUGGCUGCGGACGUAUCGCUCGCCAACCCGGUCAGAUCCGGAAGGAAGCAGCCGUAACGAGUUUCCGAUGCGGGUCGUUUGUCCAGCCUCCCAC